UACGUAGGUGGCAAGCGUUGUCCGGAAUUACUGGGUGUAAAGGGCGUGUAGGCGGGUUGUCAAGUCAGAUGUGAAAUUCCGUGGCUCAACUGCGGAGCUGCAUCUGAAACUGAUGAUCUUGAGUACUGGAGAGGGAAGCGGAAUUCCUAGUGUAGCGGUGAAAUGCGUAGAUAUUAGGAGGAACACCAGUGGCGAAGGCGGCUUUCUGGACAGUAACUGACGCUGAGGCGCGAAAGCGUGGGGAGCGAACAGG
Molecule: ribosomal RNA, 253 nt
Filed under: uncultured bacterium
Lineage: Bacteria
Also listed under: 1 other name
Description: partial 16S ribosomal RNA
Rfam family: Bacterial small subunit ribosomal RNA
Source: RNAcentral